Molecule: ribosomal RNA, 521 nt
Filed under: uncultured bacterium
Lineage: Bacteria
Description: partial 16S ribosomal RNA
Rfam family: Bacterial small subunit ribosomal RNA
Source: RNAcentral
GACGAACGCUGGCGGCGUGCCUAAUACAUGCAAGUCGAGCGGGCCUCCGGAGGUGCUUGCACCUCCGGAAGGCCAGCGGCGGACGGGUGAGUAACACGUGGGCAACCUGCCUUUGAGGCCGGGAUAACACCGGGAAACCGGUGCUAAUACCGGAUGCGUCCCCUUUCGCGCCUGCGAGAGGGGAGAAAGACGGUCUUUAAGGCCGUCGCUCAAAGAGGGGCCCGCGGCGCAUUAGCUGGUUGGGGGGGUAAGGGCCUACCAAGGCGACGAUGCGUUGCCGACCUGGGAGGGUGAUCGGCCACACUGGGACUGAGACACGGCCCAGACUCCUGCGGGAGGCAGCAGUAGGGAAUCAUCCGCAAUGGGCGAAAGCCUGACGGUGCAACGCCGCGUGAGUGAGGAAGGUUUUCGGAUCGUAAAGCUCUGUUGUGAGGGAAGAACAGCUUCCGGAGGAAAUGCCGGAGGUUUGCCGGUACCUCACCAGAAAGCCCCGGCUAACUACGUGCCAGCCGCCGCAGUAA